This 229-nucleotide non-coding RNA is filed under the name Clostridium acetireducens. Its description in RNAcentral is "T-box sequence". It matches the Rfam family "T-box leader". Rfam says of the family: Uncharged tRNA acts as the effector for transcription antitermination of genes in the T-box leader family. T-boxes are found upstream of many aminoacyl-tRNA synthetase genes and some amino acid biosynthetic genes usually in Gram-positive bacteria. The record is from RNAcentral. Lineage: Bacteria; Bacillati; Bacillota; Clostridia; Eubacteriales; Clostridiaceae.
UUAAAUACAUUGAAGAAGGAAAGUAAUUUAAAUGGAAUUUACAGAGAGAGAACUAUUGGCUGAGAUGUUCUUAAAGGAAUUUUAAAUGAAGUGCCCUUCGGAGUAAUGCACCGAAAUUAAGUAGGCUGCAGCGGUUUCACCCGUUAUAGUGAUAGAGUAUAGAAUGGUACUUGAACUACAAUCUAACUUUAACUAGAGUGGAUUUGCGAAGUAUAACUUCGUCUCUAUG